AGAAAAUCCCGGUCCUCAUCCACGACGGCAAGGCUGUGUGUGAGUCGCUCAUCAUCGUGGAGUACAUCGACGAGGUCUGGAGCGACAAGGCGCCGCUGCUCCCGAAAGAUCCCUAUGCAAGGGCGCAAGCUCGGUUCUGGGCCGACUACAUCGACAAGAAGAUAUACGAGUGCGGGACGAGGCUGUGGAAGCUGAAAGGUGAAGGACAAGAGGCUGCG
RNAcentral lists this unclassified non-coding RNA (218 nucleotides) under Hevea brasiliensis (rubber tree). The record is from RNAcentral. Lineage: Eukaryota; Viridiplantae; Streptophyta; Magnoliopsida; Malpighiales; Euphorbiaceae.